CCUACGGGUGGCAGCAGUGAGGAAUAUUGGUCAAUGGACGCAAGGCUGAACCAGCCAUGUCGCGUGCAGGAUGACGGCUCUAUGAGUUGUAAACUUCUUUUGUACGAGGGUAAACUCCGACACGAGUACCGGGUUGAAAGUAUCGUACGAAUAAGGAUCGGCUAACUCCGUGCCAGCAGCCGCGGUAAUACGGAGGAUCCGAGCGUUAUCCGGAUUUAUUGGGUUUAAAGGGUGCGUAGGCGGAUUGUUAAGUUAGAGGUAAAAUGCCGGGGCUCAACCCCGGAAAGGCGUUUACACUGGUUGUCUAGAGAUGAGGUGCGGUAGGCGGAAUGUGCGGUGUAGCGGUGAAAUGCUUAGAGAUUGUACAGAACUCCGAUUGCGAAGGCAGCAUACCGACGGAUAUCUGACGUUGAGGCACGAAAGCGUGGGUAGCGAACAGGAUUAGAUACCCUAGUAGUC
This 459-nucleotide ribosomal RNA is filed under the name uncultured bacterium. RNAcentral's name for it is "partial 16S ribosomal RNA". It matches the Rfam family "Bacterial small subunit ribosomal RNA", at positions 338 to 795 of the family's 1533-position model. The record is from RNAcentral.